This 1418-nucleotide long non-coding RNA is filed under the name Helianthus annuus (common sunflower). RNAcentral describes it as "hypothetical non coding rna". Lineage: Eukaryota; Viridiplantae; Streptophyta; Magnoliopsida; Asterales; Asteraceae. The record is from RNAcentral.
UUUCUCUUCUUCUUCUCUCUAUACGUUGGUGUUCUAACCAAUAAUCACCGAUGCGAUGUUCUGUCCGAUCGAUUCAGGAACCAUCUAACGAAUGCCGAAGUGUUGUGCUUUGUGAAUUUUGUUAAACGGAAUCCAAAGUACUAUACUUUGUGAGUUCAUUUAAUGGAUACCAAAGUACUGUCUAAAUAAGACUAUACUUUGUGAAAUUCGUUAAGGUUCGAAUCUCGUGACUACCGUUAAGGUUUGAUUUGGGUUUUACACAAAUACGUAUUCCAUUCUGUUAAACUAUAUGUUUAACUACCGAAAAUACUUCCCACUACACACUCACAAUCAAACAAAGUAUUAAAUCAUCAGAAGAUCCAGAAUAAUAAAGUGCAUGCUUAAUUAUCGGAAGAAGUAGAAUCAAGAAGCUUGUUAACUCAAUCUUGCAUGCUUAUAAAGUGAGUCAUUCCUCUUUUAUAAACUCUUUUCUCACAGUUUGUGAGUCAUUUUCUUUUUAUCAACUGUUUUACAAAACUCCAAAUUAUUUUCCAAUGUUAUAAUUACAGGGAUUAAGUCUAUGUAAUCACCAAAUUACAGCCGGUAUGUGGGGUUUUGUAUACAUUACUUGUUUCCCGUCACACUUGGACAAACGGGUGGCCAAGGGGUGAUCUGACCACAGUCACAGACACCAUUGGACAAAUGGGCUAGCCAAUGGAUGGUCGAGUGACAAAUACUGUGGGUAGUUGGUUUGAUAUCAGAAACAUUGUAAUUCCCCUUAAUACUGUGAAUUAUAACAAAUCUGUUUUAUAUAAAACCUGAAUGAACUCACUCAGUAUUUCCCGCUGACAAAACCUUUUUAAAAACGCGUUUCAGGUAACUACAGUAGAUUGGGGUAAGAAUUGGAUCCAGCACUGAAGGACUUCAAGAAGUGGCUUAUUUUAUUAAAUAAAUCAACUUAAGAAAUAUUGUUUUUGGGUUUAUCCCUUAUUAAAAGUUAUCUUUGUAAAACAUGGAAUUAUUCCAUCUAUUUAAAUAAAAUCCGGUGUUUUCUAAACUCUGAUAUUUUUCCUAACUCACGGUCCUGAUGAAAUUUCCGCUGCAAUGUUUUCAAAAAUAACCACCGGUACCACUGGACUGCUCGCGGCUUCCGAUUCCGGCCAGGAUGGGGUCGGGGGUCGUGACACCUAACUUUCUUAAAAUCCUUGUGUCCCCGGCAACGGCGCCAAAAACUUGAUGCGUGUCAGUGUCCAAGUUUUAAAUUUAUAAACACGAUAUUCACUAACACUAAACACUUAUGGGCAAGUGCACCCAUCGUGGACGUAGUAUAGUGUUGGUAAGACACCGAGGUCGUCCAAGGACACAAGAGCUUUUAGUACUGGUUUAUCCUCAACGUCUAAUCAAAUCAAAAUGUUAGAAAAAGAUUUUUAAACUAGAAA